RNAcentral lists this ribosomal RNA (330 nucleotides) under uncultured eukaryote. RNAcentral describes it as "partial 18S ribosomal RNA". It matches the Rfam family "Eukaryotic small subunit ribosomal RNA", at positions 1470 to 1796 of the family's 1831-position model. The record is from RNAcentral.
CCCUUAGAUGUCCUGGGCCGCACGCGCGCUACACUGACGGAGCCAGCGAGCGUGUCCUUCGCCGAAAGGUGCGGGUAAUCUUGGCAGCCUCCGUCGUGCUGGGGAUAGAUGGUUGCAAUUAUUGAUCUUGAACGAGGAAUUCCUAGUAAGCGCGAGUCACCAGCUCGCGUUGAUUACGUCCCUGCCCUUUGUACACACCGCCCGUCGCUACUACCGAGUGGAUGGCUUAAUGAGAGCUCUGGAUCUCUGCCGGCGCGGUCCUCACGGGUCGCGUUGGAUGGGGAGAAGUUGCUCAAAUUGAGUCUUCUAGAGGAAGUAAAAGUCGUAACA